This 235-nucleotide ribosomal RNA is filed under the name uncultured marine alveolate. RNAcentral's name for it is "partial 18S ribosomal RNA". It matches the Rfam family "Eukaryotic small subunit ribosomal RNA", at positions 597 to 836 of the family's 1831-position model. The record is from RNAcentral.
GCGUAUAUUAAAGUUGUUGCGGUUAAAAAGCUCGUAGUUGGAUUCCUGUCGAGAAGUGGUUCCCUUACCCUUUGGAUGAGGGUUACUACAUUCUUUACAUCUUCCAUAGUAGGUGUUCUUCACUUAAGUGUGCGGACAUCAUACUCUGGGCAUUUACUUUGAGGAAAUGAGAGUGCUUCAAGCAGGCAAACGCCUGAAUACACUAGCAUGGAAUAAUAGCAUCGGAUCAUCGUGC